GCUUGCUCUUUAUGCAUCUGGGACCAUAAUUUUACCUUUCCAAAGUUUUGCCUUCUGAAUGGCUUCUCAAAACUUACAGGACCGUGAAUCAUACUCAGCUAAUUAGCCCCCACCAUGAAAUACUUUGCACGUCCCAGGUUCUCAUGGAGGAGCUGUUGCAUUUGGAAAAGUGAAGAGAAACCAGGGAUUAGAUUGGUUUCAAAGACUUCUUCUCCACGUGGGUUACCCCUGCUUCAGAGGCUCUUGUGACGCCCUCCUAUUACUUCACAUCCAGAUGGCCAUCACUGGGGAGGUGCGGCAACGUCACCUGCAGAAUCACUGUUUCUCUUGGUGGUUUCUCAUUCUCACGGCUGUGGAUCUGCCAGUUGUUUCUGAUGGUGUGGGCGCUGGUGCCCUUCAGAAAGGCCUCUCUGAUUGACAGGGGAAGCAAAUAAAAAUCAGGUGCAUCAGGAGCCUGGCAGCCAGUGCCCAGGCAUUGUGGUCAGCCAACCGAGAAGACUCGCUCCAAGUUUCCAGGAGGGGUUCAACCCAGCAGGAAACUGAGUCACAGAGAAGUUAACUAUCUUUCCCAAAGUCACACGGAUUUGGAAGAUCUCCGGUUCAUUCAGCUGCACUUCUUGUCAUGGGAUAUGGCAGCGCGUCUCAAACUUGCCUGGGAACCGGACGCAGAGAAGCCAGGAGCCGGAGCCCAGAUUUGGGCACAACUUCUCCCUAGGGGUCUGCUUGUUCAGACGAGGCGUCGAGGCAACUGUCUGCACAGUCGUCAUCGUAACUAGAAAGUAGCGGGGGUACUGGAACAGCUUCGUUGCUUUAGAAUAGGCCGUCUCGCCGUUCAUCAUAUUUGAGACUUCUGUGAAACUACAUCGUGUGGAAGUUGGUGGCCUUUUGAGAAAAAUGUAAUGGUAUUCACAUUUCUUCCUAUACCACUCGGGGAUUUUAAACAAUGGAGCAAGAAAAGAAGGCCAAGACUGUCUUCUUACUUAACACGUACCUGCUUACUUUUCAAGAGCUUUAAAACAAAAACCAAAUCACCCCACUGGAAGCCG
This 1046-nucleotide long non-coding RNA is filed under the name Equus caballus (horse). Its description in RNAcentral is "lncRNA (ENSECAG00000060382.1)". Lineage: Eukaryota; Metazoa; Chordata; Mammalia; Perissodactyla; Equidae. The record is from RNAcentral.